RNAcentral lists this small RNA (118 nucleotides) under Escherichia coli. RNAcentral's name for it is "partial RtT sRNA". It matches the Rfam family "RtT RNA", at positions 51 to 130 of the family's 130-position model. Rfam says of the family: This family represents a bacterial cis-regulatory element known as RtT RNA. The exact function of RtT is unknown although it is thought that it may be involved in changing the cellular response in relation to amino acid starvation. The record is from RNAcentral. Lineage: Bacteria; Pseudomonadati; Pseudomonadota; Gammaproteobacteria; Enterobacterales; Enterobacteriaceae.
AGCGAGAGAGCGUCAGCGAGAGAGCGUCAGCGAGAGAGCGUCAGCGAGAGAGCGUUGCCGCAGGCAACGACCCGAAGGGCGAAGCGCGCAGCGCUGAGUAAUCCUUCCCCCACCACCA